UACAGAGGUCCCGAGCGUUGUUCGGAUUCACUGGGCGUAAAGGGUGCGCAGGCGGGUUUGCAAGUUCGAUGUGAAAGCCCCGGGCUUAACCCGGGAAUGGCAUUGGAUACUGCAGAUCUGGAGGAUCGGAGGGGGGACUGGAAUUCUUGGUGUAGCAGUGAAAUGCGUAGAGAUGUGGAGGAACACCGAUGGCGAAGGCAGCCCCCUGGGUCAACACUGACGCUCAUGCACGAAAGCGUGGGGAGCAAACAGG
Molecule: ribosomal RNA, 253 nt
Filed under: uncultured bacterium
Lineage: Bacteria
Description: partial 16S ribosomal RNA
Rfam family: Bacterial small subunit ribosomal RNA
Source: RNAcentral